RNAcentral lists this ribosomal RNA (482 nucleotides) under uncultured bacterium. Its description in RNAcentral is "partial 16S ribosomal RNA". It matches the Rfam family "Bacterial small subunit ribosomal RNA", at positions 30 to 507 of the family's 1533-position model. The record is from RNAcentral.
AUUGAACGCUGGCGGCAUGCUUUACACAUGCAAGUCGAACGGUAACAGGCCGCAAGGUGCUGACGAGUGGCGAACGGGUGAGUAAUGCAUCGGAACGUGCCCAGUCGUUGGGGAUAACUACUCGAAAGAGUAGCUAAUACCGCAUACGAUCUAUGGAUGAAAGCGGGGGACCGUAAUGCCUCGCGCGAUUGGAGCGGCCGCUGUCAGAUUAGGUAGUUGGUGGGGUAAAGGCUCACCAAGCCAACGAUCUGUAGCUGGUCUGAGAGGACGACCAGCCACACUGGGACUGAGACACGGCCCAGACUCCUACGGGAGGCAGCAGUGGGGAAUUUUGGACAAUGGGCGCAAGCCUGAUCCAGCAAUGCCGCGUGCAGGAAGAAGGCCUUCGGGUUGUAAACUGCUUUUGUACGGAACGAAACGGCUCUGGUUAAUACCCGGGGCUAAUGACGGUACCGUAAGAAUAAGCACCGGCUAACUACGUG